GGGCGGGUGGCGGAAUGGCAGACGCGUACGGCUUAGGACCGUAUGCCGCAAGGCGUGUGGGUUCGACUCCCUCCCCGCCCA
This 81-nucleotide transfer RNA is filed under the name Elusimicrobiota bacterium. RNAcentral describes it as "Elusimicrobia bacterium (groundwater metagenome) tRNA-Leu". It matches the Rfam family "tRNA". Rfam says of the family: Transfer RNA (tRNA) molecules are approximately 80 nucleotides in length. Their secondary structure includes four short double-helical elements and three loops (D, anti-codon, and T loops). Further hydrogen bonds mediate the characteristic L-shaped molecular structure. tRNAs have two regions of fundamental functional importance: the anti-codon, which is responsible for specific mRNA codon recognition, and the 3' end, to which the tRNAs corresponding amino acid is attached (by aminoacyl-tRNA synthetases). tRNAs cope with the degeneracy of the genetic code in two manners: having more than one tRNA (with a specific anti-codon) for a particular amino acid; and 'wobble' base-pairing, i.e. permitting non-standard base-pairing at the 3rd anti-codon position. Lineage: Bacteria; Pseudomonadati; Elusimicrobiota. The record is from RNAcentral.